This is a long non-coding RNA of Pongo pygmaeus (Bornean orangutan), 1033 nucleotides long. RefSeq lists it as uncharacterized. The record is from RefSeq and is a predicted model, not a curated record. The transcript has 3 exons. NCBI's taxonomy places the organism in Eukaryota, Metazoa, Chordata, Mammalia, Primates, Hominidae.
GAGGGUUCUCACCCCCCACUCCUUGAAGUCUGGCCAUUUGGGUGGGAGAGGCUGGAGCAGCCAGUGAGGACACUCAGCAUAGUGUGGGCAACCAGACAGGAUGGAUUUGAAUUUAUAAAGAACCUGCCUUCCUUCCUUCAUGUUCCAAGCAAAUGUUCCAGGUAUUUAAGCCACAUGCUGGGGAGGAUUAUAAAUAUCCAAGGGAAACAGAGACCAUCUGGAGUUAUCCCUACAUUGUGGAGGGGUCCCACAAGAGCCCAUUGGAGAGCUUGUCACUUCAUGGCUGCUGAGCUGCCAUGGCUCCUUCCAUCACAUCCUCACAAGACAGCAGCCCAAGCCAAAGGGACCAAAAAGGCCUCUCCUUGGACUUAUUGCUUACCAGAAAGAAAAGGUCCCAAGGCCUCCACUGGUCUCAUUGGCAAGGACUGAAUCACAUGUCCGUCAAGAUUCACACCCCUGAGCAGGGCUCCCCGUCCCUUGGACAGAAUUGGAGUUGGGGCAACAGGAAAGAAAAGGGUGUUACACAGCAACAAGUGCCCACCACAGGUACCCACAGCUUCUUCCAUUGCUCCUUGGAAGGCAACAAGGGGAAACCCCAUCAUUUUAGAGAGCUUUGUUAUCAUUACAUUUCAAUAACAAAAGGUCAUUUCCCUUUUUUGCCAACCUCCUCAUUGGGAACAAAAUGUGGCUGGGGGCUUUCUUUCUGAAGUUUACAAAUCCGUCUCCCACCUGCCAACCCAGCACCUGGGCAGGUGUAUUCACUCACAGGUGUCAGGCUGGCAGAUGGGUCAAACAGAAUGGGGGAAUGGGAUUAAGAAGUGUCACCCACCCCCAUCCCCUGAAUGGGAACAAAUCUAUGUCACCGAGUUUACCCUUGCUCUGAGGGCCUCAGACAAGGUGCCUGCACCUGGUUAUCAGAUGCAGUGAGAGGAGAAGGAAAGGACUUUCACCUUUUACUUAAUGUAUUCUGCUUUGUUUGUAAUGAGUGUGCACUCUUGCCAUGGUUUUUUAAUUGAAUACAAUUUUUCCAACA